GAACAUCACAAGAACUUACAAGACCAAGUGCUUGCGGCAUUUGCGAGUUUUCGCUCACUCAUGUUCGAGGGAAACAUGCUUGCGUGCAUGGGGAGGAUGGAUGCGUUUGACCUUAAGAAGCACCCAAAAUCCUAAAAUUGUAGAUCGCCUGUCGUCACACGCAUGCCACGCUGAAAAUGUCUGUUAUUUAAUUAGUGAGAGGCAAGUAGGUCGGACUCGGGGGUCAGUUUCAGAGGAAUUGAGGGAAGGGGGUGGGGCCAUGAGACCAUGUGCCUUAUUAGCACCAUUGUCAAAAAUGGACGUUUCCCAAUUCCAGGCAAAACACGAGGCGUUCCCAGUGUGACUUCGAUCACGCAGCCACGGCAGCCAGGUCUAACAACGGGCUUGUGAGGUGCCUCGGACUACAAGGUUGCACGGUUUCAACAUCUGCGAAGUAGUUAGUGGUUUGCGCCUGCCAUUCUAGUCUUCACGGAUGUUCAUUGUGGCUUUCCAGGUUACUUGGAUAGGGACUCGGUGAUAUGCCCGCAUGCAGGUUUGGGCAGGGAACAUCACAAGAACUUACAAGACCAAGUGCUUGCGGCAUUUGCGAGUUUUCGCUCACUCAUGUUCGAGGGAAACAUGCUUGCGUGCAUGGGGAGGAUGGAUGCGUUUGACCUUAAGAAGCACGCCAUGCCACGCGUGAAAAUGUCUGUUGUUUAGAUUAGUGAGAGGCAAGUAGGUCGGACUCGGGGGUCAGUUUCAGAGGAAUUGAGGGAAGGGGGUUGGGCCAUGAGACCAUGUGCCUAAUUAGCACCAUUGUCAAAAAUGGACGUUUUCCAAUUCCAGGCAAAACACGAGGCGUUCCCAGUGUGACUUCGAUCACGCAGCCACGGCAGCCAGGUCUAACAACGGGCUUGUGAGGUGCCUCGGACUACAAGGUUGCACGGUUUCAACAUCUGCGAAGUAGUUAGUGGUUUGCGCCUGCCAUUCUAGUCUUCACAGAUGUUCAUUGUGGCUUUCCAGGUUACUUGGAUAGGGACUCGGUGAUAUGCCCGCAUGCAGGUUUGGGCAGGGAACAUCACAAGAACUUACAAGACCAAGUGCUUGCGGCAUUUGCGAGUUUUCGCUCACUCAUGUUCGAGGGAAAAUUGCUUGCGUGCAUGGGGAGGAUGGAUGCGUUUGACCUUAAGAAGCACCCAAAAUCCUAAAAUUGUGAUCGCUGUAGAACACGCCACACGGUGAAAAUGUCUGUUGUUUAGAUUAGUGAGAGGCAAGUAGGUCGGACUCGGGGGUCAGUUUCAGAGGAAUUGAGGGAAGGGGGUUGGGCCAUGAGACCAUGUGCCUAAUUAGCACCAUUGUCAAAAAUGGACGUUUUCCAAUUCCAGGUAAAACACGAGGCGUUCCCAGUGUGACUUCGAUCACGCAGCCACGGCAGCCAGGUAUAACAACGGGCUUGUGAGGUGCCUCGGACUACAAGGUUGCACGGUUUCAACAUCUGCGAAGUAGUUAGUGGUUUGCGCCUGCCAUUCUAGUCUUCACGGAUGUUCAUUGUGGCUUUCCAGGUUACUUGGAUAGGGACUCGGUGAUAUGCCCGCAUGCGGGUUUGGGCAGGGAACAUCACAAGAACUUACAAGACCAAGUGCUUGCGGCAUUUGCGAGUUUUCGCUCACUCAUGUUCGAGGGAAACAUGCUUGCGUGCAUGGGGAGGAUGGAUGCGUUUGACCUUAAGAAGCACCCAAAAUCCUAAAAUUGUAGAUCGCCUGUCGUCACACGCCAUGCCACGUGUGAAAAUGUCUGUUGUUUAGCUUAGUGAGAGGCAAGUAGGUCGGACUCGGGGGUCAGUUUCAGAGCAAUUGAGGGAAGGGCGUUGGGCCAUGAGACCAUGUGCCUAAUUAGCACCAUUGUCAAAAAUGGACGUUUUCCAAUUCCAGGUAAAACACGAGGCGUUCCCAGUGUGACUUCGAUCACGCAGCCACGGCAGCCAGGUAUAACAACGGGCUUGUGAGGUGCCUCGGACUACAAGUUGCACGGUUUCAACAUCUGCGAAGUAGUUAGUGGUUUGCGCCUGCCAUUCUAGUCUUCACAGAUGUUCAUUGUGGCUUUCCAGGUUACUUGGAUAGGGACUCGGUGAUAUGCCCGCAUGCGGGUUUGGGCAGGGAACAUCACAAGAACUUACAAGACCAAGUGCUUGCGGCAUUUGCGAGUUUUCGCUCACUCAUGUUCGAGGGAAAAUUGCUUGCGUGCAUGGGGAGGAUGGAUGCGUUUGACCUUAAGAAGCACCCAAAAUCCUAAAAUUGUAGAUCGCCUGUCGUCACACGCCAUGCCACGUGUGAAAAUGUCUGUUGUUUAGCUUAGUGAGAGGCAAGUAGGUCGGACUCGGGGGUCAGUUUCAGAGCAAUUGAGGGAAGGGCG
RNAcentral lists this long non-coding RNA (2391 nucleotides) under Volvox carteri. RNAcentral's name for it is "long non-coding RNA (VCAR_LNC001677)". The record is from RNAcentral. Lineage: Eukaryota; Viridiplantae; Chlorophyta; Chlorophyceae; Chlamydomonadales; Volvocaceae.